CCUGACCAUCCUGACGAAAAUAAGCAGUUUUUGAGUAAUCAUCUAUUUCAGAUGAAUCGAUAUCUGGCACUACAUUGUCAAUUACACAACGACUUUCAUUUACUAACACAUCAUCAACAUUAUCAAUGUUGAUGUAGUCUUUUAGAGGUGUCGAUAAUACAAUCCACCAUUUUGGAUCGAGUUGGUCCUUCACAUAAAAAAGAUGUCUAGCUUGGGAAGCUAAGAUGAAAGGAUCAUUAAAUGCCCCAACCUAUCAAGCUCAACCAAUGUAUAACCAAGAUCAUCUUUUCUGAUCCCAUGUGCACUGUCUACCCAAGCACACCUGAAUAUUAGUAUCCUCAACAAUUGAUAUUAGAAAAGCCAUAUCUCCUGAAUAACGCCAUAAUAGCACGAUUUAGCAAUCACUGGGUUGUUGUCCUUCGUGCUUGUAACGUGCAUCCCUUUCGAUUCUAUGUUAACC
RNAcentral lists this long non-coding RNA (460 nucleotides) under Panax ginseng (ginseng). RNAcentral's name for it is "long non-coding RNA (PGIN_LNC014445)". Lineage: Eukaryota; Viridiplantae; Streptophyta; Magnoliopsida; Apiales; Araliaceae. The record is from RNAcentral.